RNAcentral lists this ribosomal RNA (440 nucleotides) under uncultured bacterium. RNAcentral's name for it is "bacterial SSU rRNA". It matches the Rfam family "Bacterial small subunit ribosomal RNA", at positions 346 to 796 of the family's 1533-position model. The record is from RNAcentral.
GUGCAGCAGUCGAGAAUCUUUCGCAAUGGGCGCAAGCCUGACGAAGCGACGCCGCGUGUUCGAUGAAGCCCUUCGGGGUGUAAAGAGCUUUUAACCGGGAUGAACCUUCGGGUGACAGUACCGGUUGAAUAAGGGGCCGCUAAACUCGUGCCAGCAGCGGCGGUAAUACGAGUGCCCCGAGCAUUAUCCGGAUUUAUUGGGCGUAAAGAGCCUUAAGGCGGUUAAGAAAGUCUCUGGUCAAAUACUUGGAGCUCAACUUCAAGACCGCCAGAGAUACUUCUUGACUAGAGGGCGUUAGAGGCCAGCGGAACGGCCGGUGUAGGGGUGAAAUCCGUUGAUAUCGGCCGGAACACCAAAAGCGAAGGCAGCUGGCUGGGGCGACCCUGACGCUGAUUGGCGAAAGCGUGGGGAGCAAAAAGGAUUAGAUACCCCCGUAGUCC